Molecule: transfer RNA, 84 nt
Filed under: bacterium
Lineage: Bacteria
Also listed under: 2 other names
Description: tRNA-Leu
Rfam family: tRNA
About the family: Transfer RNA (tRNA) molecules are approximately 80 nucleotides in length. Their secondary structure includes four short double-helical elements and three loops (D, anti-codon, and T loops).
Source: RNAcentral
GCCUGAGUGGCGGAAUAGGUAGACGCGUUGGUCUCAAACACCAAUGAGGUAAAACUCGUAUCGGUUCGAUUCCGAUCUCAGGUA